AACGAACGCUGGCGGCAUGCCUAACACAUGCAAGUCGAACGAAACCUUCGGGCCUAGUGGCGGAUGGGUCGGUAACGCGUGGGGACCUGCCCUUGAGUUCGGAAUGACUCCCCGAAAGAGGUGCUAAUACCGGCUCAUGUAUUCGGUACAACGAUUUAUCGCCUUUGGAUGGGCUUCCGUUGGAUUAGCUGGUGGGUAGGGUAAAAGCCUAUCAAGGGGACGAUCCGUAGCUGGUUUGAGAGGAUGAGCAGCCACACUGGUACUGAGACACGGCCCGGACUCCUACGGAAGGCAGGAGAGGGUAAUAUAGGACAAUGGGGGAUGGCCUGAUCCAGCAAUGCCGGGUAAGUGAUGAAGGCCGUAGGGUUGUAAAGCUCUUUUACCCGGGGCGAUAAUGACGGUACCGGGAGAAUAAGCACCGGCUAACUCCGUG
RNAcentral lists this ribosomal RNA (433 nucleotides) under uncultured bacterium. Its description in RNAcentral is "partial 16S ribosomal RNA". It matches the Rfam family "Bacterial small subunit ribosomal RNA", at positions 29 to 507 of the family's 1533-position model. The record is from RNAcentral.